Molecule: non-coding RNA, 79 nt
Filed under: unclassified sequences
Description: Clostridiales-2 RNA
Rfam family: Clostridiales-2 RNA
Source: Rfam by way of RNAcentral
UAAAAAAGGGGAGUGCAGAGGGGGCACCCCUCACCGAUGAGGGAGGGUGCUCAGGCUGCUUGCAGCCGCCGAAGGGAAC